AUGUCGUGCCUACGCCAAGAUUUCAUCAUGUUGCAGCCAUGUGCAAAGUUACGCAAACUUAGGCCAAGCUUCAAGGAAACUGGAGGUUUUGUUACUGCUGGCAAUACUUCUAGCAUAAGUGAUGGUGCUGCAUCAUUAGUUUUGAUGAGUGGAGAGAAGGCAUUAAAGCUUGGGCUUCAGGUCUUUGCAAAAAUCACUGGAUAA
Vicia faba (fava bean) is the source of this 204-nucleotide non-coding RNA. NCBI's taxonomy places the organism in Eukaryota, Viridiplantae, Streptophyta, Magnoliopsida, Fabales, Fabaceae. The record is from the annotation of a GenBank genome assembly.